UAUGGUUUGGAAACAGAAAAUCUGAAAACUCUUUCACACAAACUGAAUGCAUCUGCCAAAAAUCUGCAGAACUUCAUCACUGGGAGGAGGAGGAGUGGUCAUUACGAUGGAAGGACCAGCCGCAAAUUACCAAAUGAUUUUCUGACAUCAGUAGUGGAUCUCAUUGGAGCUGCUAAAAGUCUCCUGGCUUGGUUGGACAGAUCACCUUUUGCUGCUGUGACAGAUUACUCAGUAACAAGAAAUAAUGUAAUACAACUCUGUCUGGAGCUGACAACAAUUGUACAACAGGAUUGCACAGUAUAUGAAACAGAGAAUAAAAUUCUUCAUGUGUGUAAAACUCUCUCUGGCGUCUGUGACCACAUCAUCUCGCUCUCUUCUGAUCCCCUGGUUUCCCAGUCGGCCCACCUUGAAGUGAUCCAGCUUACAAACAUCAAGCCAAGUGAAGGGCUGGAUUCAUGAAAUGUUGGAGAUGGAAAAUGGAUUAUUGUCAACUGUAUUCUACAUUUUGGACCCACAUGACAGUUCUUUGUUGGCCUUACUGCACACUAAAUAAAGUCUUCUAUAAAGAUGGAAAGAGUUCAAGGAGAAAGCAUGGAUGACUGUUGACUUGGAAGAUGUUUUGUCAUCUAGCAUAAGUGGCAUGUUUAAAAUGUCUUGAAUUUAAUAUCUAAGAAGAGGAAACAGAUCAGGGAAUGAAAAAGAAGAAAAAUAAAAGUAAAAUUUGGAAAACAAUGCUAUUUCUCUAAAAUAAUAUGGCAAAUAUAAGGUGGAAUAGAGAAAAUGGUUGGAGCUUUUACAACAUUAAAGAAAUAACAACACUAUCAGUAUGUUUUAAUCAACAUGCACAGUUUUUUUACUAUAUUUGAACUGUUUUUGUGGAAUUGUAAUUAUCAGAAGGAAGAGGUAAAUUUGCUACAUACAAUGUCUUAUUAAAAUUAGAAAACGGUUAUCAGGAAAUGAACUAGUCUGGGAAGGAUGUUCUUUGGAUGUGAUAGGGAGAAAUUCUGGUGUAUUGGGUAAAGCUUAUGUGAAACAUGGGUGAGUUUUGGUAUUGCUCUUCAUCUUUUUUUUCCCUCCUUUCUUUUUCCCUAAUCUGCCCACGUGAAUGACUGCAUAUGUGUUCACAAAUGGGUGUUGCUGCAGAAAGAGAUGCAUCCUGCAGUGAUUGUGAAGUAAGAGUGAAAGGGGAUCUGUCAGAGUAUAAAAUUCUUCUAAAAAUUGUUUCAUCUGUAACACUAAGUAGAAUCCAGUUUUCUGUAUUUUUCCCAUACUGAUUCUAUCUAAGCAAUCCAGUCUUAUUUCUAUAAUAUAAUUUGCCAGGAAACAGACCUAAAAAUAUUAGUUUGACUAAAAACAAGUUUGUUUAGUAAAGAAACAGAAUACUACACAACUACUGUUAGACAAGAAGCAAGUUAUAGAUAGCACUUUUCUUUGGAGGUUUUUCUUCAAUGGUGCCUUUUCUUUCACUUUUUUUAAAUACAGAACAAUGCUGGAGAACUAUGGCACACAUUAGGCAGAAAAUCAAAUAUAAACAGGAGAAACUGUAACUAGUCAGUUAACGUGUGUGAUAACAAACCUAAUGAGUUCUGGGAUAUGACUUCAAGUUCAAGCUAUUCACCUAAUUUGCUAGAUUUAGAAAUGCAAAGGUGAAUAUACCUAAAUAUUAGACUGGUUGUUCUUAGUUCCCCUUUGCUUGCUAAAGCAAGCACAAAAUGGGCCUGCUAUGAGAAAAUGCACUUAUGAAAUAGAAGUUAUAUGUAGAGAAGAAAAGCUGGUUAAAACUGCACUGGUAGGUGUCCAGUUGGGAAGUAUUUUUCAGGCAUCUAGUGUACUACUAGUUCUUGAUACUUCUCCUCUUAUUUGUCUUGAAAUGUUGGAGGAGAUGAUGGGGGGAGAGGAGGGGGAAGGAAGCUGUGAAUAGGUUUUUGAGAACUGCUGGGACUUUGGUCUUUACUAAUCCUACUUAAGCUGUAGGGCUGAGCUGAGACUCUCAAGUUUACUUUGAGCUGUGUGUUUACUUUUGCACUUUUGGAGCACAUUCAUGGCUAAAGAGCCAAAUGCAGCUUCAGGGGACUGCAUUAAGAUGUCAUCAUGGAGAAAGUAAAAACUACAUUUACGUACAUGAAAAAAUGGAAUUGAUAUCUUCUUGUAUUUUCCAUCCAGUAUUGAGUAAAUUGAAUUAAAUGUAAAGCAGGUUCUGUUCUUCCAUUCUUU
Molecule: non-coding RNA, 2214 nt
Organism: Meleagris gallopavo (turkey)
Lineage: Eukaryota; Metazoa; Chordata; Aves; Galliformes; Phasianidae
Source: RefSeq, a predicted model, not a curated record